CCUCCUGAGCAACCUACGAGCCUGAAGAGCUGAUAUCAGACCUCUAGGUGUACCCCUCCUGUCUCCUCUGAAGACAACCUCAGACCCAUCUUGACCUCUGAACUUGACUACCUUGUCCCUGCAGUCCAAGGUAGCACCAUGGGUAGAUAACCAAUCCAUCCCUAGAAUGACGUCAAAAUCUGUCAAAUCUAGAACCACUAGAUCGGCGGACAAGCA
This 216-nucleotide long non-coding RNA is filed under the name Manihot esculenta (cassava). Its description in RNAcentral is "long non-coding RNA (MESC_LNC013082)". The record is from RNAcentral. Lineage: Eukaryota; Viridiplantae; Streptophyta; Magnoliopsida; Malpighiales; Euphorbiaceae.